This 301-nucleotide ribosomal RNA is filed under the name uncultured bacterium. RNAcentral describes it as "partial 16S ribosomal RNA". It matches the Rfam family "Bacterial small subunit ribosomal RNA", at positions 512 to 810 of the family's 1533-position model. The record is from RNAcentral.
UAGCCGCGGGAAUACAGAGGGUGCGAGCGUUAAUCGGAUUUACUGGGCGUAAAGCGUGCGUAGGCGGCUUCUUAAGUCGGAUGUGAAAUCCCUGAGCUUAACUUAGGAAUUGCAUUCGAUACUGGGAAGCUAGAGUAUGGGAGAGGAUGGUAGAAUUCCAGGUGUAGCGGUGAAAUGCGUAGAGAUCUGGAGGAAUACCGAUGGCGAAGGCAGCCAUCUGGCCUAAUACUGACGCUGAGGUACGAAAGCAUGGGGAGCAAACAGGAUUAGAUACCCCCGUAGUCCCUGUCUCUUAUACACA